Molecule: microRNA, 23 nt
Filed under: Gallus gallus (chicken)
Lineage: Eukaryota; Metazoa; Chordata; Aves; Galliformes; Phasianidae
Description: gga-miR-6603-3p
Source: miRBase by way of RNAcentral
AAGGACAAGAGGAAAUGGUUUCA